RNAcentral lists this ribosomal RNA (745 nucleotides) under uncultured bacterium. RNAcentral describes it as "bacterial SSU rRNA". It matches the Rfam family "Bacterial small subunit ribosomal RNA", at positions 33 to 773 of the family's 1533-position model. The record is from RNAcentral.
ACGCUGGCGGCAGGCCUAACACAUGCAAGUCGAGCGGUAGAGAGAAGCUUGCUUCUCUUGAGAGCGGCGGACGGGUGAGUAAUGCCUAGGAAUCUGCCUGGUAGUGGGGGAUAACGUUCGGAAACGGACGCUAAUACCGCAUACGUCCUACGGGAGAAAGCAGGGGACCUUCGGGCCUUGCGCUAUCAGAUGAGCCUAGGUCGGAUUAGCUAGUUGGUGGGGUAAUGGCUCACCAAGGCAACGAUCCGUAACUGGUCUGAGAGGAUGAUCAGUCACACUGGAACUGAGACACGGUCCAGACUCCUACGGGAGGCAGCAGUGGGGAAUAUUGGACAAUGGCCGAAAGCCUGAUCCAGCCAUGCCGCGUGUGUGAAGAAGGUCUUCGGAUUGUAAAGCACUUUAAGUUGGGAGGAAGGGCUGUUACCUAAUACGUGAUGGUUUUGACGUUACCGACAGAAUAAGCACCGGCUAACUCUGUGCCAGCAGCCGCGGUAAUACAGAGGGUGCAAGCGUUAAUCGGAAUUACUGGGCGUAAAGCGCGCGUAGGUGGUUUGUUAAGUUGGAUGUGAAAUCCCCGGGCUCAACCUGUGAACUGCAUUCAAAACUGACUGACUAGAGUAUGGUAGAGGGUGGUGGAAUUUCCUGUGUAGCGGUGAAAUGCGUAGAUAUAGGAAGGAACACCAGUGGCGAAGGCGACCACCUGGACUGAUACUGACACUGAGGUGCGAAAGCGUGGGGAGCAAAC